GGCUGAAGGCUCUGGACUUAUGAGUAAUUUGAUCUAAUUGAUAAUCAUAGUGUGUGCAUACAAGUGUUAGGUGAUAUUAAAUUAUUACCAACUGAUGUACAAGAAUCAGUAGCAAGAGCUGUGACAAUGACUAAAAACAAUAACAAGGUAUAUCUUAAUGUGUGUUUCUCUUAUGCAUCAAGAUAUGAGAUUACUGAUACUAUACAGUCACUGGUUGAUGGAUCUCAUGAUGGUAUAUACU
Molecule: long non-coding RNA, 241 nt
Organism: Amphimedon queenslandica
Lineage: Eukaryota; Metazoa; Porifera; Demospongiae; Haplosclerida; Niphatidae
Exons: 3
Source: RefSeq, a predicted model, not a curated record